UUUGUGGUUUUACAUAAAAACAGUUUGAUGUUUUCCAAUUUGAAGCCAAGCAAAUUUUCGAACAUGAAUAGAAGCAAAAUAUUGAAGAGGAAAGCUAAAAUAGUUUGCCCACUAUCAAGCAAAUUUAUGUGCAGAGUUCUAAUCAAUGAAGAUUGAAUUCUUUGCAAGUAUUUUAGACAUCCUGGCAAGACAUCGUCACAGGAAAAGAAAAUGGUGGAAAUGAAUUGAAAGAAAGUAUCAAUUCGCCGAUUGGGUUCUAGAUAUUGACUCAAUCGAUAAACUACAAAAAUAAAUCAGCCAGUGCACGCCCCCGAUGGAUUGGACGCAUGUACGUGUCAUUUCUACGGCCAGAAUGCAACGUACUAUAUCCCAGUCAUCGCGAUAACAUGACUAUCCUCUUCCAUGUUGUGAAGUCUUUUUUUCCUUGACGCCAUGCAUCUAAGAUUUACGAUCAAGCGUGCAAAGUCCUUACAACCACCAACCGGGAUAAAAGGAUUCUGAGUCGUCGAUCAAUCAGGUACGUGCACGCAGUGUGUAUAGGCUAUAUCCACUGUCCUUUGCGUACAGGCAACUACCCACUCAAUCACCCGACACAUUCACAUCAUACUUGGAAGACCAAAACUAAACGACGUGGCCAAAUCCUCGCCUACAAAAAGUUUACAUCCAUGAGGAAAACAAAAUCAAUGCUAAUGCACCAUUUUGCUUUGAUUUAUUUAGAAACCCGGGCUAACCUGAAAAGCCUUAAACUAAUGAAAAAUCAACUGAAACGACUUCUCCUUUUUUAACGGAUGAUUUCAGCGAGAUGAGCAACUUUAAGGUCUUCAAGGAAGGCUUUCGAGUCCGUAAUGGGUUCCGGUGACAGGAAAGAAACAGUUUUGGUGGCCGUAGGCAUUAGGAAUCCAU
This is a long non-coding RNA of Daphnia carinata, 903 nucleotides long. RefSeq lists it as uncharacterized. Lineage: Eukaryota; Metazoa; Arthropoda; Branchiopoda; Diplostraca; Daphniidae. The transcript has 2 exons. The record is from RefSeq and is a predicted model, not a curated record.